UGGGGAAUAUUGCACAAUGGGCGCAAGCCUGAUGCAGCCAUGCCGCGUGUGUAAAGAAGGCCUUCGGGUUGUAAAGCACUUUCAGCGGGGAGGAAGGCGUUAAGGUUAAUAACCUUGGCGAUUGACGUUACCCGCAGAAGAAGCACCGGCUAACUCCGUGCCAGCAGCCGCGGUAAUACGGAGGGUGCAAGCGUUAAUCGGAAUUACUGGGCGUAAAGCGCACGCAGGCGGUUUGUUAAGUCAGAUGUGAAAUCCCCGGGCUCAACCUGGGAACUGCAUCUGAUACUGGCAAGCUUGAGUCUCGUAGAGGGGGGUAGAAUUCCAGGUGUAGCGGUGAAAUGCGUAGAGAUCUGGAGGAAUACCGGUGGCGAAGGCGGCCCCCUGGACGAAGACUGACGCUCAGGUGCGAAAGCGUGGGGAGCAAACAGG
This 429-nucleotide ribosomal RNA is filed under the name Chloroflexota bacterium. RNAcentral's name for it is "Chloroflexi bacterium partial 16S ribosomal RNA". It matches the Rfam family "Bacterial small subunit ribosomal RNA", at positions 355 to 776 of the family's 1533-position model. Lineage: Bacteria; Bacillati; Chloroflexota. The record is from RNAcentral.